Molecule: ribosomal RNA, 328 nt
Filed under: uncultured eukaryote
Lineage: Eukaryota
Description: partial 18S ribosomal RNA
Rfam family: Eukaryotic small subunit ribosomal RNA
Source: RNAcentral
CCCUUAGAUGUUCUGGGCCGCACGCGCGCUACACUGAUGCAUUCAACGAGUCUACAACCUGGUCUGAUAGGGCUGGGUAAUCUUUUGAAUGUGCAUCGUGAUUGGGAUAGAUGAUUGCAAUUCUUCAUCUUCAACGAGGAAUGCCUAGUAAACGCAAGCCAUCAGCUUGCAUUGAUUACGUCCCUGCCCUUUGUACACACCGCCCGUCGCUCCUACCGAUUGGGUGUGCUGGUGAAAUGUUCGGAUCGGCCGUUUGUCGCGGUUUCCGCGUCAUGUGGCUGAGAAGUUCAUUAAACCCUCCCACCUAGAGGAAGGAGAAGUCGUAACA